RNAcentral lists this ribosomal RNA (239 nucleotides) under uncultured bacterium. RNAcentral describes it as "partial 16S ribosomal RNA". It matches the Rfam family "Bacterial small subunit ribosomal RNA", at positions 15 to 245 of the family's 1533-position model. The record is from RNAcentral.
GAUCUGGCUCAGGAUGAACGCUAGCUACAGGCUUAACACAUGCAAGUCGAGGGGCAGCAUUUUAGUUUGCUUGCAAACUAAAGAUGGCGACCGGCGCACGGGUGAGUAACACGUAUCCAACCUGCCGAUAACUCUGGGAUAGCCUUUCGAAAGAAAGAUUAAUACCGGAUGGCAUAGGAUUAUCGCAUGAUAAUCCUAUUAAAGAAUUUCGGUUAUCGAUGGGGAUGCGUUCCAUUAGG